Small nuclear RNA from Phoenix dactylifera (date palm), 150 nucleotides. RefSeq annotates it as U12 minor spliceosomal RNA. The record is from RefSeq and is a predicted model, not a curated record. NCBI's taxonomy places the organism in Eukaryota, Viridiplantae, Streptophyta, Magnoliopsida, Arecales, Arecaceae.
UUGCCUUAAACUAAUGAGUAAGGAAAACAAAGCGGGUGGUGAGAGCUGCCCGCCGCGCUAAUCUCUUUGCGCAAGUAUUUUUGGAGGGUUUAUAGGCUGGCCGAGCGAGGACGCUGCUUACUUCGCAGAACCCGCUCGUGCGGGCCUCCC